Molecule: ribosomal RNA, 433 nt
Filed under: uncultured bacterium
Lineage: Bacteria
Description: partial 16S ribosomal RNA
Rfam family: Bacterial small subunit ribosomal RNA
Source: RNAcentral
AACGAACGCUGGCGGCAUGCCUAACACAUGCAAGUCGAACGAGACCUUCGGGUCUAGUGGCGCACGGGUGCGUAACGCGUGGUAACCUGCCCUUAGGUUCGGAAUAACUCCUCGAUAGGGGUGCUAAUACCGGAUAAUUUCUUCGGACCAAAGAUUUAUCGCCUUUGGAUGGGCCCGCGUUGGAUUAGCUAGUUGGUAGGGUAAAAGCCUACCAAGGCGACGAUCCAUAGCUGGUCUGAGAGGAUGAUAAGCCACACUGGGACUGAGACACGGCCCAGACUCCUACGGGAGGCAGCAGUGGGGAAUAUUGGACAAUGGGCGAAAGCCUGAUCAAGCAAUGCCGCGUGAGAGAUGAAGGCCUUAGGGUUGUAAAGCUCUUUUACACGGGAUGAUAAUGACAGUACCGGGAGAAUAAGCUCCGGCUAACUCCGUG